This 447-nucleotide ribosomal RNA is filed under the name uncultured bacterium. RNAcentral describes it as "bacterial SSU rRNA". It matches the Rfam family "Bacterial small subunit ribosomal RNA", at positions 355 to 825 of the family's 1533-position model. The record is from RNAcentral.
UGGGGAAUUUUGGGCAAUGGGCGAAAGCCUGACCCAGCAACGCCGCGUGAAGGAUGAAGUAUUUCGGUAUGUAAACUUCGAAAGAAUAGGAAGAAUAAAUGACGGUACUAUUUAUAAGGUCCGGCUAACUACGUGCCAGCAGCCGCGGUAAUACGUAGGGACCAAGCGUUGUUCGGAUUUACUGGGCGUAAAGGGCGCGUAGGCGGCAAUUCAAGUCAUCUGUGAAAUCUCCGGGCUUAACUCGGAACGGCCAAGUGAUACUGUCGCGCUAGAGUGCAGAAGGGGCAAUCGGAAUUCUUGGUGUAGCGGUGAAAUGCGUAGAUAUCAAGAGGAACACCUGAGGUGAAGACGGGUUGCUGGGCUGACACUGACGCUGAGGCGCGAAAGCCAGGGGAGCAAACGGGAUUAGAUACCCCCGUAGUCCCUGAGCGGGCUGGCAAGGCGCAU